This 1030-nucleotide long non-coding RNA is filed under the name Ananas comosus (pineapple). Its description in RNAcentral is "long non-coding RNA (ACOM_LNC002489)". The record is from RNAcentral. Lineage: Eukaryota; Viridiplantae; Streptophyta; Magnoliopsida; Poales; Bromeliaceae.
UCUGUUUGACAAGGAGAUUUAUAUUGUGUUGUACAAUAUUAAGUUAGUAGAGCUAGAAUACUUGUAAAAGUAUCACCCAAGUGAUACUUGUGUAUUUUUAGCCCUUGGAUGAAGAGAUGUGAGGUUGAGAUGAUGGUGAUAGGUGAUACUUGUGUGUUUUUAGCCCUUGGAUGGAGAGAUGUGAGGUUGAGAUGAUGGUGGUAGAUGGUGGUAGGUGGAAUAGUGUUUGAUCCAAGGACUAUUAGUAAUCAAAAAGUAGAUCCAAUGGCUAAAAACACACAAGUAUCACUUGGGUGAUACUUGUAAAAAUAUUCUAGCCCUACUCAUAUUAAGUGAUAUGUACUAUCGAUAAGUAUGAAAAUUUUCAUGUACCUAAAAAAAUAAAGGACAAUCUGAAUACUAUACAAUAAGAAGGCAAAGCAUUGCGCAUAAGGCAUGUUUGUUUUAGUAUAAGUAGAGUGAUGGAACUCAAGUUCCAUCACUUUCGUUAUUUAUUUUGGUGUUAAUGAAAAAUAUAAUAUAACUCAAGUUACGUUAGACCUCCAAUUCACCUACUCUCGACUUCUUCCUCUAAAGUGCCGAACUCAACUUCCACCACACUCAACUUCCUCUAAAAUAUUUAUUAAACAGUAAAAUCUAAACUCUACUUCCCUUAUAAUAGAUUAGAAUUACCUUAUUUAUAAUAAAUUAGGAUUAUCUUUAAAUAAUAAAAAAAAAUUAAUUAUAUAAUAAGUUAAAUUUUAUAGCGGUAAAUUUACUAUUAUAUUUAGGAGAUAAUGGAAUCCACUUACUUACAUCAAAAUAAACAACGGAACUCAUAAAACUAAUUUUACCAGCACCAAGUUACAUCAAAACAAACAGAAAAAGUAAUUGAAUUUAACUUUCAGUCUAUACGAGUUACGUCAAAACAAACAACCAAAAAAUAAUCACAUUUCAGAAAAACUCGAACACCACUGUUCUUGACUUACGUUGGAUCUAUAGGUACGUCAAUCCAAACGGACCCUAAAAAUUUUAGAAGAGAGGUUAAUUU